AGUGGGGAAUAUUGCACAAUGGGCGCAAGCCUGAUGCAGCGACGCCGCGUGGGGGAUGACGGCCUUCGGGUUGUAAACUCCUUUCGCUAGGGACGAAGCUUUUUGUGACGGUACCUAGAUAAGAAGCACCGGCUAACUACGUGCCAGCAGCCGCGGUAAUACGUAGGGUGCGAGCGUUGUCCGGAAUUACUGGGCGUAAAGGGCUCGUAGGUGGUUUGUCGCGUCGUCUGUGAAAUUCCGGGGCUUAACUCCGGGCGUGCAGGCGAUACGGGCAUAACUUGAGUACUGUAGGGGUAACUGGAAUUCCUGGUGUAGCGGUGAAAUGCGCAGAUAUCAGGAGGAACACCGAUGGCGAAGGCAGGUUACUGGGCAGUUACUGACGCUGAGGAGCGAAAGCAUGGGUAGCGAA
Molecule: ribosomal RNA, 409 nt
Filed under: uncultured Corynebacterium sp.
Lineage: Bacteria; Bacillati; Actinomycetota; Actinomycetes; Mycobacteriales; Corynebacteriaceae
Description: bacterial SSU rRNA
Rfam family: Bacterial small subunit ribosomal RNA
Source: RNAcentral